This 309-nucleotide ribosomal RNA is filed under the name uncultured bacterium. RNAcentral's name for it is "bacterial SSU rRNA". It matches the Rfam family "Bacterial small subunit ribosomal RNA", at positions 28 to 334 of the family's 1533-position model. The record is from RNAcentral.
GGUGAACGCUGGCGGCGUGCUUAACACAUGCAAGUCGAGCGAUGAAGUUUCCUUCGGGAAACGGAUUAGCGGCGGACGGGUGAGUAACACGUGGGUAACCUGCCUCAUAGAGUGGAAUAGCCUUCCGAAAGGAAGAUUAAUACCGCAUAAUGUUGAAAGAUGGCAUCAUCAUUCAACCAAAGGAGCAAUCCGCUAUGAGAUGGACCCGCGGCGCAUUAGCUAGUUGGCGGGGUAACGGCCCACCAAGGCGACGAUCAGUAGCCGGACUGAGAGGUUGAACGGCCACAUUGGGACUGAGACACGGCCCAG